GAUGAACGCUGGCGGCGUGCCUAAUACAUGCAAGUCGAGCGAACAGACGAGGAGCUUGCUCCUCUGACGUUAGCGGCGGACGGGAGAGUAACACGUGGAUAACCUACCUAUAAGACUGGGAUAACUUCGGGAAACCGGAGCUAAUACCGGAUAAUAUAUUGAACCGCAUGGUUCAAUAGUGAAAGACGGUUUUGCUGUCAUUUAUAGAUGGAUACGCGCCGCAUUAGCUAGUAGGUAAGGUAACGGCUUACCAAGGCGACGAUGCGUAGCCGACCUGAGAGGGUGGUCAGCCACACUGGGACUGAGACACGGUCCAGGCUCCUACGGGAUGCCGCAGUAGGGAAUCUUCCGCAAUGGGCGAAAGCCUGACGGAGCAACGCCGGGGGAGUGAUGAAGGUCUUCGGAUCGUAAAACUCGGUUAUUAGGGAAGAACAAAUGUGUAAGUAACUAUGCACGUCUUGACGGUACCUAAUCAGAAAGCCACGGCUAACUACGUGC
Molecule: ribosomal RNA, 498 nt
Filed under: uncultured bacterium
Lineage: Bacteria
Description: partial 16S ribosomal RNA
Rfam family: Bacterial small subunit ribosomal RNA
Source: RNAcentral